ACGCUGGCGGCAUGCCUAACACAUGCAAGUCGAACGAGAUCUUCGGAUCUAGUGGCGCACGGGUGAGUAACGCGUGGGAACCUACCUUUUAGUACGGGACAACGUUUGGAAACGAACGCUAAUACCGUAUACGCCCUCCGGGGGAAAGGUCAGCCGCUAAAAGAGGGGCCCGCGUCUGAUUAGCUUGUUGGUAAGGUAAUGGCUUACCAAGGCUACGAUCAGUAGCUGGUCUGAGAGGAUGAUCAGCCACACUGGGACUGAGACACGGCCCAGACUCCUACGGGAGGCAGCAGUGGGGAAUAUUGGACAAUGGAGGCAACUCUGAUCCAGCAAUGCCGCGUGUGUGAUGAAGGCCUUAGGGUUGUAAAGCACUUUCAACGGUGAAGAUGAUGACGGUAGCCGUAGAAGAAGCCCCGG
RNAcentral lists this ribosomal RNA (417 nucleotides) under uncultured Alphaproteobacteria bacterium. Its description in RNAcentral is "bacterial SSU rRNA". It matches the Rfam family "Bacterial small subunit ribosomal RNA", at positions 33 to 496 of the family's 1533-position model. Lineage: Bacteria; Pseudomonadati; Pseudomonadota; Alphaproteobacteria. The record is from RNAcentral.